CCUACGGGAGGCAGCAGUAGGGAAUCUUCCACAAUGGGCGAAAGCCUGAUGGAGCAACGCCGCGUGGGUGAAGAAGGUCUUCGGAUCGUAAAACCCUGUUGUUAGAGAAGAAAGUGCGUGAGAGUAACUGUUUACGUAUUGACGGUAUCUACCCAGAAAGCCACGGCUAACUACGUGCCAGCAGCCGCGGUAAUACGUAGGUGGCAAGCGUUAUCCGGAAUUAUUGGGCGUAAAGGGAACGCAGGCGGUCCUUUAAGUCUGAUGUGAAAGCCAUGGGCUUAACCGGAGUAGUGCAUUGGAAACUGGGAGACUUGAGUGCAGGAGAGGAGAGUGGAACUCCAUGUGUAGCGGUGAAAUGCGUAGAUAUAUGGAAGAACACCAGUGGCGAAGGCGGCUGUCUGGUCUGUAACUGACGCUGAGGUACGAAAGCGUGGGGAGCAAACAGGAUUAGAUACCCCUGUAGUC
This 465-nucleotide ribosomal RNA is filed under the name uncultured bacterium. RNAcentral describes it as "partial 16S ribosomal RNA". It matches the Rfam family "Bacterial small subunit ribosomal RNA", at positions 338 to 795 of the family's 1533-position model. The record is from RNAcentral.